This 494-nucleotide ribosomal RNA is filed under the name uncultured bacterium. Its description in RNAcentral is "partial 16S ribosomal RNA". It matches the Rfam family "Bacterial small subunit ribosomal RNA", at positions 28 to 507 of the family's 1533-position model. The record is from RNAcentral.
GACGAACGCUGGCGGCGCGCUUAACACAUGCAAGUCGAACGGAAAGGCCUGCUUUCCCUUGUGGAUUGCGGGUACUCGAGUGGCGAACGGGUGAGUAACACGUGAGUGAUCUGCCCCCAACUUGGGUAUAAGCCUGGGAAACUGGGUCUAAUUCCCGAUAGGACUGCAGGGUGGUGCCUGUGGUGGAAAACGAUUUUCUAGUGGUUGGGGAUGAGCUCGCGGCCUAUCAGCUUGUUGGUGGGGUAAUGGCCUACCAAGGCGGCGACGGGUAGCCGGCCUGAGAGGGUGGACGGCCACAUUGGGACUGAGAUACGGCCCAGACUCCUACGGGAAGCAGCAGUGGGGAAGAUUGCACAAUGGGCGGAAGCCUGAUGCAGCGACGCCGCGUGGGGGAUGACGGCCUUCGGGUUGUAAACUCCUUUCGACCGCGAGGAAGCCACCUGGUUGGAAGGGUGGUGACGGUAGUGGUAGAAGAAGCACCGGCUAACUACGUG